CCCAUAUCUCGCACAUGCAUUUCCCAUUAUUCAACAAGAGCAUGCACAAUCAUUCAACAAAUUUUUUGAAUUCUCAAGGAAGUUCCCCGCAUUACACGUUCUCUUUCUUACACAUUCUGGGGAUAUACAAGCCAAAAAUUCCAAGGGAAUUUCUAUAAUGAAAGGAGGAUAACUACAUGCUUCUAUGAUUUAUUCAGCGUCCUGUUCUUAAUUUUAAUUCGAAAUCUUGGUGCAGAGUUACCUUCCGAUGGCUCAGGCUUAGUGUCCACAUAGGUGUUGGCCAUUUUGGAACCACUGGAUUCCCUUGGUUUCAACUGCACAGUUGCCAACUUAAUGCUGCUGGGUUCCUGUUUCUUAAUGCGCGAGUCUACCGAAGAUGCCUUUGCAUCAUCACUGAGCAGCUUUGCCAUUUCCUUCUCCUUCUGUUUUUUCUCUUUCUUCAACCUCUUCCGUUCCAGGUACUCUGGAUCAUCCCUGUGCCCUUUAUGAUCUUCCCGUUUCCGUUUCUUUUCCUUAUCUUUUUUCUUCUCCUUUUCUUUCCCACGAAAAGGAGAUACCACGGCAACUGAUGAACCGCCAUCAUGAUCAAAUCUUCCAACUGAGAGGGUUUGCAGACUAGCAUACUUUUGUGCACCACUGUCGACAUUGUUAUCUUGCAUGACACUAGGAGAUGAUGGAUCCUCAGGCUGAGGAUGCACAAAAACUUUGCUUGAAUCAGCAGUGCACUGGAGUUCCUUCCCAAAAUUGUCACCAUCACUUGUGAGUUUUGCACUGCCUAUGCUAGCAGUCAUCCGCGACCCAUGGUCAAGACAUGAGUU
RNAcentral lists this unclassified non-coding RNA (818 nucleotides) under Hevea brasiliensis (rubber tree). Lineage: Eukaryota; Viridiplantae; Streptophyta; Magnoliopsida; Malpighiales; Euphorbiaceae. The record is from RNAcentral.